CUACUAGAAGGUUCGAUUAGUCUUUCGCCCCCAUGCCCAUGUUUGACGAUCGAUUUGCACGUCAGAACCGCUGCGAGCCUCCACCAGAGUUUCCUCUGGCUUCACCCUACACAGGCAUAGUUCACCUUCUUUCGGGUCCGGCCCCGUAUGCUCUUACUCAAAUCCAUCCGAAAACAUCAGGAUCGGUCGAUGAUGCGCCGAAGCUCUCACCUGCGUUCACUUUCAUUUCGCGUAGGGGUUUGACACCCGAACACUCGCAUACGAAGACGACUCCUUGGUCCGUGUUUCAAGACGGGUCACUGAUGACCAUUACGCCAGCAUCCUUGCGAAUGCGCGAACCUCAGUCCGCCACAGGGUAUUACGCAGCGGGCUAUAACACUCCCCGGAGAGAGCCACAUUCCCGAAGCCUUUUUCCCCCGGGGCGAACUGAUGCUGGCCUGGGCCGGAAGAGUGCACCAGGGAGAACCCUGGAUGAUCAACCAAGCCCAAGUCUGGUCACAAGCGCUUCCCUUUCAACAAUUUCACGUACUUUUUAACUCUCUUUUCAAAGUUCUUUUCAUCUUUCGAUCACUCUACUUGUGCGCUAUCGGUCUCUGGCCGGUAUUUAGCUUUAGAAGACAUAUACCUCCCAUUUAGAGCAGCAUUCCCAAACUACUCGACUCGUCGAAGGAGCUUUACAGAGGAUUGGCGUCCAACCAGACGGGGCUCUCACCCUCUAUGGCGUCCCGUUCCAGGGAACUCGGAAGGCACCGCACCAAAANCAUCCUCUACAAAUUACAACUCGGGCCCGAGAGCCAGAUUUCAAAUUUGAGCUGUUGCGCUUCACUCGCCGUUACUGAGGCAAUCCCUGUUGGUUUCUUUUCCUCCGCUUAUUGAU
This 877-nucleotide ribosomal RNA is filed under the name Fusarium neocosmosporiellum. RNAcentral's name for it is "partial large subunit ribosomal RNA". Lineage: Eukaryota; Fungi; Ascomycota; Sordariomycetes; Hypocreales; Nectriaceae. The record is from RNAcentral.